Molecule: non-coding RNA, 72 nt
Organism: Ornithorhynchus anatinus (platypus)
Lineage: Eukaryota; Metazoa; Chordata; Mammalia; Monotremata; Ornithorhynchidae
Source: Rfam
AGAAGGAUGGCUCAGUGGAAAGAGCACGGGCUAUGGAGUCCGAGGUCAUGGGUUCGAAUCCCAGCUCUGCCA